Molecule: ribosomal RNA, 514 nt
Filed under: uncultured Glomus
Lineage: Eukaryota; Fungi; Glomeromycota; Glomeromycetes; Glomerales; Glomeraceae
Description: SSU rRNA
Rfam family: Eukaryotic small subunit ribosomal RNA
Source: RNAcentral
AGCAGCCGCGGUAAUUCCAGCUCCAAUAGCGUAUAUUAAAGUUGUUGCAGUUAAAAAGCUCGUAGUUGAAUUUCGGGAUCAAUUUAUUGGUCGUGCUAUUGUACGUACUGGUAUUAUUGAUUCCUACCUUCUGACGAACCAUGAUGUCAUUAAUUUGGUGUCAUGGGGAAUCAGGACUGUUACUUUGAAAAAAUUAGAGUGUUUAAAGCAGGCUCACGCUUGAAUACAUUAGCAUGGAAUAACGAAAUAGGACGUUUGAUUCUAUUUUGUUGGUUUCUAGGAUCGACGUAAUGAUUAAUAGGGAUAGUUGGGGGCAUUAGUAUUCAAUUGUCAGAGGUGAAAUUCUUGGAUUUAUUGAAGACUAACUACUGCGAAAGCAUUUGCCAAGGAUGUUUUCAUUAAUCAAGAACGAAAGUUAGGGGAUCGAAGACGAUCAGAUACCGUCGUAGUCUUAACCAUAAACUAUGCCGACUAGGGAUCGGAUGAUGUUAAUUUUUAAUGACUCAUUCGGCGU